AUUUUCAAAAGUUUUUUUUAUUGAAAGUGGGAUUUGCACUUGUAGCAAUGUGCAUCUUAAAAACCUUGUUUAGUAGAAUUGAUAACAAAAUAGUAGCAAUAUGAUGUAGAAGUUGAGACGGAUCCAUGUGGUAAUUAGGGGUGUCAACUGACACUUUUAAAAUAUAGAAUUUUUUUGUAAGCUAGACAAGAGAAGUGUAGACAGCAUAAAUUUAUAUGUAUAUAUACUAUAAUAAAAGGGUUAUAUGAGGAAUAGGGAGGCUGUCCACGUCGACAACAAAAAUCAACCAAUGAGAAGAUUCAUUUUUGACACGUCAUCUCGGCUGUGCAUUGUUGGGCUUCCUUUAUUUUUUUGAGCCCAAAUAUUGAUGUCAAUGGAUAUUGAGAUGACUGACGAGACCGGAGCCACCGAAGAGUCUCCAUAAUUUCACGCUCUCGAACUUGAGGUGGGGGAGCCAGCAGACACUUCAAGUGCAUGAAGAUCGAUGUUUCCAUGAGUUCCAGCUAUCAUCGACUCCGACGGUGAUCUUCGUCUUUGCGAUUCGCGGCUCCUCUGUUUCGAUCCCGUUUCGGUUCGGCGAGUCUCCACUACAUCAUCAUAUUCGGCUGCACUAGGUUCAGUCCUUCCCGAAACACCGCCUUUUAUCCCGCGGUUUAUAUCCUUUUCACCUUGCUAUCAGAUUGUCUGCUCAAAUAUAUUACUAAUCUAAGAUCCACAUUCUUUUUGUUAUUUUUUUGUUUGGCUCCUUUAUACUGCUCAGUGAUCCUUUUUCUAGCUGAUUAAGAGGAACUCACCACUUUGGAUCGAGAAAGAUGAAAAUGAUGACGGCAAAAUUUAAUUGAUUCCACUUUGAAUUCGAGCAAGUUGUUUCCUUUCCCGAGUUUUUUCUUGGGUUUCCACUCAAACUAUGCUAAACUUUUGUUUUCUUUCAGAGUGGAUCAGCACAAGAACAGAUUGAAUCAUCAAAAGCUUGAGAAUUGUGAACCAGAAAGGAAAGCAGCCGACUUUAGGUUGAGUACUCGGCCUUUCCUCAGUCUUGUGGAGAAGAAAUGGUUGGCGUUUCAGUUACUUCUUGCUGUGAAGCAGUGCCAUGAGAAGGAUAUAUGUCAUGGUGAUAUCAAGUGCGAGAACGUCUUGGUCACUUCCGGGAACUGGCUUUACCUUGCUGAUUUUGCGUCCUUCAAACCUACAUACAUUCCUUAUGAUGAUCCUUCAGACUUUUCCUUCUUUUAUGAUACAAGGGAACGAAGGCUUUGUUAUCUGGCUCAAGAGUUGCCGUUACUGGAGUCAGAUUAAUGAUCGAAGCGGAAUACUCAUGGGGUUGAUAUGAUCCCUGCUUAAUAGAAAGGUAUUUGAUCUUACAUAACUGAAAGCCCAUGAAUUUGGACUUUACGGUUUGACGUGUUUGCAGAAAAACUAGAUGAAUGUGCCAGAGAGUUCAAAGAAAGGACGCAUAUCAUGGUGGCAGGUGGUGAUGAUACAAUUGGUUCGGUUGUCUCGAUACAACUUGGCUCUGUACGCUCUAAAAAUUCUUCAAUCCAAAUUGUAACAAGAAACAUCAGGAUUCUACAAGAGACGAGCCAGUAAUUUUCUUCGUUGGUAGCUUCUUUCUUUGCUGCAGUGUAUGUAACAAAAUCGAAAGAGUUCUUUCCCCAAACAAAAUUAGAAUUCAGCUCAAAAGUUGUAAUGUGUGCAUGUGCUAAGAAUGUAUAUCGCAUGGAGACAACAUGUCUGUAAGACAUUCUGACCCUCAGGUGAUGAUGAGGAUAGGUGACAGGUGGUUUCACUGGCAAUGAUAUGAGGAUAGGUGGCAGGUGGUGAUGGUAUAGUUGGUUUGGUUCUUGGUUGUCUCGAUGAGAGACACAGAGAAUGGCAUGAUGCUUUUGAUAUACACAACUUUGCUAUGUAAUUUCUACAAAUUCUUCAAUCCAAGUUAUAAUAAAAUUAUAUGUUUGAUACAUGGAUAAUAAUUUGAUCAUUAAAUGAGAAAACAUGAUGUUCAACCAAAAAAAGAAAAAGCAAACAUAAGAAAGUAUAGCUGUAACAAACAAUACUAACUUUUAUAUUGUGUAUCUAAUUAAAACAUUUACUCUAUUACAUUGAGUUAAUUAUUUCUUCUUUCACAAUAUCUAAAUCAAAAUUUAGGGGGAAAAGUAUAACAGAAUCAGAGUACCAAUUUUUUCAAAAACAAAUGUAUAAGAGUACAAAAAUAAAUCAUGAUUUUUUUGCUGUGUAUAAUUAUUUGCUUGAUGACAUAUUCUUUGAUUGUUUAGAGCAUUUCCAACCUCACUCUAUUUUUCAAUCUAAAAUAGAGUUUAGAGUAAAAAAUGCUCAAAUGGUAUUAUAUUUCUCACUGUAUAAUAGAGUGAAAAAUAGGUUUACUCCAAAUGUAGAGUAUUUUUUUUUUAUGUUCAUCAUUCUAUUUUCUACUCUAAAAUAGAGUAACUCUAUAAUAGAGUUUGAGUUUACUCCAUUGAAGAUGGUCUUAGGUCUGGAAUAUACGAUGACAUAUUCUUUGCUAUGAUAUGAAACUCCAAUAAAAUUGUGCUAGAAAUGUAAUACUUUAUUAAUUUAUAACAUUUUGUAAAAAUAUUUUCAAAUAGCAUGAGCGACAUUUCCAACAAAUAAUUUAUUAUAAAAAAUUCAACAAAUGCUAAAAUAAUUUACAAAACAUAAUUGGUAAAGCACUAAAAAUUAAAUUAAGAAAAUUUCAUUAUAAAUUGAAUAUCUAAUAUAAACUGAAAACAUAGAUUAUAAAACAUCAUUUUUUGUUACAAAAUAUAUAAUAAUUAUUAUUUAUGACAUUAUUGAAACUUUUAUAUUACUUUAAAGUAUAAUUAUUUAUAAUUUUAUCACAUUAUAUUUGAUUUUUGACUCAUUUAAGUUGGAGGUGGUGUAUUAUUAUCGGAGAAAAAUUAGUUAUUGUAAUAAUAUAAAAAUUUGAUACUCUUAGAAAUAAAAAAUAUAUUAGUUAUUAUUAUUUCAGAUUUUCUUCAACUAUAUCAAAUUGCAAUAGAUAUCAAAUAGAAAAAAAAUAUAAAUCAUUACAUUUUCUUUAGGUUUUUAAUUUAAUAAUUUUGUGUCUAACAAAAAAAAUGUGAAUGGUCUUUUCAACUCAAACCAACAAAACUGAAGUAAAUUUAUUAUUUUUUUUAUAAAAUUAAAAUAUAUUUUAGUAUAAAAUAGUUUUAGUGUAAAUUUAGUUUUAGUAAUAUAAAUAGUGUAAACAAAACCAUUAUAUACUCUGCAAAAAUAGAGAAACAAAAAUAGAAGAAACUACAAAAGAUAGGGAUGAUGACUGCAAUGUGUGUGUAAAAAAAUUUGUUGAAAUAAAUUUGAGAUUUAUUUAGCAAUUGCAUGGGUGGUGGCAAUGAUAAGUAACAACUAAAUUUAGUUUGGCCUUCCAAAUUAACUGAACACUGAUUAAUAAGUUAUUUAGUUAAAUAACAAUUGAAUACGACAGUUUCUAAAUUUAUGCAAAAUUAACCCAACAAAUUAGAUUGUAUCCAAUGAUAAAAAAAAAUUAUUUUAGAAUGCAUUUACAACCAAAAAAGAGAAAAUAAAAGCUGGUAGUAGAUGAGGAGGACGAUGUCAAGAAAGAAGGGCAUAGGUUCCUCACUUAGUAAGCAUGACUGAGUGAUCUUAUUUUCCGACAAAGAAGCUUAGCUUAUUUCUGAAGGAAAAGGUCAGGUUUUUGAUAGAAGCCUGGUUUUUUCAAUGGUUUGGUUUUGCUUAAUUAUGUCAUAUUUUCAUUUGUAUUGUUUUCUCAUGAACUA
This is a long non-coding RNA of Brassica napus (rape), 3776 nucleotides long. RefSeq lists it as uncharacterized. The record is from RefSeq and is a predicted model, not a curated record. The transcript has 7 exons. Lineage: Eukaryota; Viridiplantae; Streptophyta; Magnoliopsida; Brassicales; Brassicaceae.